CGGUCCCUAUCUGCCGUGGGCGCUGGAGAACUGAGGGGGGCUGCUCCUAGUACGAGAGGACCGGAGUGGACGCAUCACUGGUGUUCGGGUUGUCAUGCCAAUGGCACUGCCCGGUAGCUAAAUGCGGAAGAGAUAAGUGCUGAAAGCAUCUAAGCACGAAACUUGCCCCGAGAUGAGUUCUCCCUGAGACUUAAAGUCUCCUGAAGGAACGUUGAAGACGACGACGUUGAUAGGCCGGGUGUGUAAGCGCAGCGAUGCGUUGAGCUAACCGGUACUAAUGAACCGUGAGGCUUAACCUUACAACGCCGAAG
Molecule: ribosomal RNA, 311 nt
Filed under: Salmonella enterica subsp. enterica serovar Infantis
Lineage: Bacteria; Pseudomonadati; Pseudomonadota; Gammaproteobacteria; Enterobacterales; Enterobacteriaceae
Description: partial 23S ribosomal RNA
Rfam family: Bacterial large subunit ribosomal RNA
Source: RNAcentral